GAUGAACGCUGGCGGCGUGCCUAAUACAUGCAAGUCGAGCGAACAGACGAGGAGCUUGCUCCUCCGACGUUAGCGGCGGACGGGUGAGUAACACGUGGAUAACCUACCUAUAAGACUGGGAUAACUUCGGGAAACCGGAGCUAAUACCGGAUAAUAUAUCGAACCGCAUGGUUCGAUAGUGAAAGAUGGCUUUGCUGUCACUUAUAGAUGGAUCCGCGCCGCAUUAGCUAGUUGGUAAGGUAACGGCUUACCAAGGCAACGAUGCGUAGCCGACCUGAGAGGGUGAUCGGCCACACUGGAACUGAGACACGGUCCAGACUCCUACGGGAGGCAGCAGUAGGGAAUCUUCCGCAAUGGGCGAAAGCCUGACGGAGCAACGCCGCGUGAGUGAUGAAGGUCUUCGGAUCGUAAAACUCUGUUAUUAGGGAAGAACAAAUGUGUAAGUAACUGUGCACGUCUUGACGGUACCUAAUCAGAAAGCCACGGCUAACUACGUG
Molecule: ribosomal RNA, 497 nt
Filed under: uncultured bacterium
Lineage: Bacteria
Description: partial 16S ribosomal RNA
Rfam family: Bacterial small subunit ribosomal RNA
Source: RNAcentral